Molecule: long non-coding RNA, 590 nt
Filed under: Mus pahari (shrew mouse)
Lineage: Eukaryota; Metazoa; Chordata; Mammalia; Rodentia; Muridae
Description: lncRNA (MGP_PahariEiJ_G0004857.1)
Source: RNAcentral
UGUUGACUCUUGACAUCAAACUCUUCAGUCCAGCUGCACUCUAUUGAGUGUGAACGAUCUUACUCAAUAGUACCCAAUCUGGUCAAGGUUCCUGUAAAGAGAAGACCAAACUACAGGCAAGAAUAGAGGUUGGAGAUGGACUGGCUUACCCAUCUAAAGGAUGUGGAAAUGGAGAAUAAGUGAGCUAAUCUUGGAAGAAUUUUGUAACAAAACAGGACAUUUCUCCAUGGAUCCAGAGGAAGUGGUAGCUGAGGGUUUGAGCUGUGUAGGGAUCUGACUUCUUCGUGGGUGUUCCUAGUAGAUGGCCCCAAGCCUACAACAGAGACUGCUUGGCUGUCUACAGUGGAAAAGACCUUCAAGUUGACUGUGAGUGGGUGCGACUCAUCAAGAAAAAUAACCUCACCACCACAACAACACAUGACGGGAGAGACCGAAACUUCUUUGGGAGAACAUAAGGGAAAAAGAAAAAAAAGAAAAAGUGAAGUCUAAGUAUUAUUAAACACAUGAAAGCCGAGUCAUUUACUUAAUAGGAAGGAGCUCAUUCACACACAGGUAGACUUGUGGUUCCUUAGAAGUACGUAAACACGACC